Molecule: ribosomal RNA, 776 nt
Filed under: uncultured bacterium
Lineage: Bacteria
Description: bacterial SSU rRNA
Rfam family: Bacterial small subunit ribosomal RNA
Source: RNAcentral
CCCACCCCNNNNNNNUUGUACNAUUCCCUUGAGUUGAUCAUGGCUAGGAUGAACGCUAGCGGCAGGCUUAAUACAUGCAAGUCGUGGGGCAGCAGGGGCUGUAGCAAUACAGUCCGCUGGCGACCGGCAAACGGGUGCGGAACACGUACGCAACCUACCCUGAACAGGGGGAUAGCCCGGGGAAACCCGGAUUAAUACCCCGUAUGAUAGUGAAGAGGCAUCUCUUAGCUAUGAAAGUAGAAAUAUGGUUCGGGAUGGGCGUGCGGCUGAUUAGGUAGUUGGCGGGGUAACGGCCCACCAAGCCUUCGAUCAGUAACUGGUGUGAGAGCACGACCAGUCACACGGGCACUGAGACACGGGCCCGACUCCUACGGGAGGCAGCAGUAAGGAAUAUUGGUCAAUGGACGCAAGUCUGAACCAGCCAUGCCGCGUGAAGGAUGAAGGUCCUCUGGAUUGUAAACUUCUUUUACCUGGGACGAAACCCUCUGACUCUUCAGAGACUGACGGUACCAGGGGAAUCAGCACCGGCUAACUCCGUGCCAGCAGCCGCGGUAAUACGGAGGGUGCAAGCGUUAUCCGGAUUCACUGGGUUUAAAGGGUGCGUAGGCGGGCCGGUAAGUCAGUGGUGAAAUCCUGGGGCUUAACCCCAGAACUGCCGUUGAUACUAUCGGUCUUGAAUGUUGUGGAGGUGAGCGGAAAUGUCAUGUAGCGGUGAAUGCUUAGAGAUGACUAGACACCAUUGCGAGGCACUCACUACGCAAUAUGACCUGAGCACA